Long non-coding RNA from Etheostoma spectabile (orangethroat darter), 1271 nucleotides. RefSeq lists it as uncharacterized. The transcript has 2 exons. The record is from RefSeq and is a predicted model, not a curated record. NCBI's taxonomy places the organism in Eukaryota, Metazoa, Chordata, Actinopteri, Perciformes, Percidae.
AUAAUGUCCAUUUUGUGGGCAUCCCCGAGGGCAAGAAAGGAGGAGAUGCAAGGACAUUUUUGGGUGAGCUGAUUCAGGAGUUGCUGGAGACUGAGGGAGAGAUUGAUAUUAAGCAUGCACACAGAACCGCCGGCCAGCAGCUCCAGGCAGGAGGCAGACCACUGACCACUCUGCACAACAGAAUGGUCAGUGGUCUGCUCAUCGGACCAGGACUUGGUGUUGCGAGUGGCAAGAGGCAAGGGCAAGCUAUCCUGGCAGAGUAACAUCAGAAUGCUAUUUCCAGACUUCUCCAGAGGGACACAGAUAAACCACGACAGGUUAAAGGAGUUUAAGAGAAAGCUUCAUCAGAGAGAGGUGAGAUUCCAUAACCUGUAUCCUGCCAAACUUAAAAUUGAAGCCAAAGCUGGAGUUAAGACAAUUGAAUACCCUCCAAAAGGCAAUGACAUUCAUAGAAAAGAUGGAGUGAUUUGUCGGCGAGGGAUUUAUAAUGACGUGUAGCCUCUGCUUAUGGCUGUGUUGCCUUUUUUUUAACCUCUUUUCUCAGUUCUCUCAUGGGACAGACAGGAGCUAGUAUGAGACCCCAGCUGGGAUCAUGCUUGGGCAUAGUUACUUUUGUAUUACUCUGGUUGUAUUUUUUUUGGUAGCAGUGCACAGGAGACAGAGCGUGUGAAGUGAGAACGGAUUACGGACCAAAAACUCAACUCUGCAUUGUUCAAGUUCAGGUGCACAUGGACUGUUCUGAAUCCCAUCAAGAGGAGGAAGGUUUUGUCCAGCCUUAAAAACAAAACCCGAUGCAAGAAACGCAUAUGUUGAUAUUGGAAUCUGAAAAAUUGUUGAGGAGGAUGGGUUGGAUUUGUGUUUCAUAGUGUGAGGUCUAGCAGCAGUAGAGGGGUCGUUACACUGAUUAGCAAGCACCAGCAAUUUAGAUUAAUUAAGCAAAGUAAGGAUAUUUCUGAAAGAAUUAUCAUUGUUCUUGCAGUAACACAAGUUAAACAUACACAAUAUAAAUAUGCACCUAAUGUGGAUGAUCGGGUUUUUUUUUAGAUUUGGAAAAGAAAUUACAAGCUGUAGUGAUCCACAAUAUUGUUCUAUAUCAAUUUGAUAAUGGAUCCAGUUCUGGACUACAGUGGGGUUGAAGUAUGCAGGCCCCCAGAGUCUCGCUCACAUAACAGAUUAUGUGAUUUUAGGAUUGGCUGAUAUUUGGAGAAUUUUGAACCCAGCUGGGAGAGAUUAUACAUUUUUUUCAUCAGUGAACAAGACAUAUUCUAGGA